AGCGUAGACGGUGUGGCAAGUCUGAUGUGAAAGGCAUGGGCUCAACCUGUGGACUGCAUUGGAAACUGUCAUACUUGAGUGCCGGAGGGGUAAGCGGAAUUCCUAGUGUAGCGGUGAAAUGCGUAGAUAUUAGGAGGAACACCAGUGGCGAAGGCGGCUUACUGGACGAUAACUGACGUUGAGGCUGAAAGCGUGGGGAGCAAACA
Molecule: ribosomal RNA, 206 nt
Filed under: uncultured bacterium
Lineage: Bacteria
Description: partial 16S ribosomal RNA
Rfam family: Bacterial small subunit ribosomal RNA
Source: RNAcentral